AGGCACGUAGCUCAGGGGGAGAGCGCUACCCUGACACGGUAGAAGUCGCGAGUUCAAAUCUCGCCGUGCCUA
Desulfobacterales bacterium S5133MH4 is the source of this 72-nucleotide non-coding RNA. The record is from Rfam. Lineage: Bacteria; Pseudomonadati; Thermodesulfobacteriota; Desulfobacteria; Desulfobacterales.